Molecule: ribosomal RNA, 560 nt
Filed under: Phoma sp. P43E3
Lineage: Eukaryota; Fungi; Ascomycota; Dothideomycetes; Pleosporales; Didymellaceae
Description: eukaryotic LSU rRNA
Rfam family: 5.8S ribosomal RNA (bases 198-351)
Source: RNAcentral
AGAGGAAGUAAAAGUCGUAACAAGGUUUCCGUAGGUGAACCUGCGGAAGGAUCAUUACCUAGAGUUGUAGGCUUUGCCUGCUAUCUCUUACCCAUGUCUUUUGAGUACCUUACGUUUCCUCGGCGGGUCCGCCCGCCGAUUGGACACUUUAAACCAUUUGCAGUUGCAAUCAGCGUCUGAAAAAACUUAAUAGUUACAACUUUCAACAACGGAUCUCUUGGUUCUGGCAUCGAUGAAGAACGCAGCGAAAUGCGAUAAGUAGUGUGAAUUGCAGAAUUCAGUGAAUCAUCGAAUCUUUGAACGCACAUUGCGCCCCUUGGUAUUCCAUGGGGCAUGCCUGUUCGAGCGUCAUUUGUACCUUCAAGCUUUGCUUGGUGUUGGGUGUUUGUCUCGCCUCUGCGUGUAGACUCGCCUCAAAACAAUUGGCAGCCGGCGUAUUGAUUUCGGAGCGCAGUACAUCUCGCGCUUUGCACUCAUAACGACGACGUCCAAAAGUACAUUUUUACACUCUUGACCUCGGAUCAGGUAGGGAUACCCGCUGAACUUAAGCAUAUCAAUAA